This 78-nucleotide small RNA is filed under the name Serratia marcescens. Its description in RNAcentral is "partial RtT sRNA". It matches the Rfam family "RtT RNA", at positions 53 to 130 of the family's 130-position model. From Rfam's summary of the family: This family represents a bacterial cis-regulatory element known as RtT RNA. The exact function of RtT is unknown although it is thought that it may be involved in changing the cellular response in relation to amino acid starvation. The record is from RNAcentral. Lineage: Bacteria; Pseudomonadati; Pseudomonadota; Gammaproteobacteria; Enterobacterales; Yersiniaceae.
CGAAGCGAGACAACGUUGCUUCAGCAACGGCCCGAAGGGCGCGCAUCAACGAUGCGCGUAAUCCUCUCUCGCCGACCA